GAUGAACGCUAGCGGCAGGCUUAAUACAUGCAAGUUGAGGGGCAGCAUGAUAUACGCGAGUAUAUUGAUGGCGACCGGCGGACGGGUGAGUAAUAGGUAGGAGACCUACCUCAUACAGGGGGAUAGCAUAGAGAAAUCUGUGGUAAUACCCCAUGAGGUUAUAUGAAUAGAGGCAUAUAAUCAAAGCAUAAGCGAUUAUGCGGUAUGAGAGGGGCCUACUGACCAUUAGCUAGUUGGUGAGGUAAGGGCUCACCAAGGCGAAGAUGGUUAGGGGUUUUGAGAGAGAGACCCCCCACAUUGGAACUGAGAGACGGUCCAGACUCCUACGGGAGGCAGCAGUAGGGAAUAUUGGGCAAUGGGCGGAAAGCCUGACCCACGCCAUGCCGCGUGAAGGAAGACGGCCUCGGUUGUAACUAGCUUUAGUAGGAAGAAGAACUGACUGUACUACUCGAAUAAGACCCGGCCGUAACCUACGUCGCACGCACGCCGCGGUAAA
This 496-nucleotide ribosomal RNA is filed under the name uncultured bacterium. RNAcentral describes it as "bacterial SSU rRNA". It matches the Rfam family "Bacterial small subunit ribosomal RNA", at positions 28 to 524 of the family's 1533-position model. The record is from RNAcentral.